CCCCCCGUAAUAUAGCAAAAAUCACGAAAAGGCCCGAAAAAGUACAUUUAGUUCAAAAUUUGGAGUAGAAAAAAAAACAAUAGAAGAAUUUCAUUUUCCUUCCUCAGUCAUCGGAGAGCUCUCUUUGGGCUUUCCAAAAAGGUAUCACAUGCCAAGUUUGGCCUCACAGUCUAAAAGUUAUAGAGUCAUACAUUUUUAACAAAACAAAAUAGAGAAAAACCGAAAAAAAGAGGGAUGCAACACGAGGACUUUCCGGGAGGUAAUCUAUCCUAGUACUACUCUCGCCCAAGCACCCUUAACUGCGGAGUUCUGAUGGGAUCCGGUGCAGUAGUGCUGGUAUGAUUGCAUGUGUUACUACAUGCAAUGUAAUCGUAUCUAUUCUUUUUUAAAGACUUUAUGAUCCAUUUGCCGUGAGUCCCACCAGCUAUGUAGGAAUAUUCUAUCUUCUUUAUAAGAGCUUUGAUACAUGCAAAAUACUGGAAAACAGUGUCCGAACAUAUAAUUUUCCCCCCGUAAUAUAGCAAAGAUCACGAAAAGGCCCGAAAAAGUACAUUUAGUUCAAAAUUUGGAGUAGAAAAAAAAACAAUAGAAGAAUUCCAUUUUCCUUCCUCAAUCAUCGGAGAGCUCUCUUUGGGCUUUCCGAAAAGGUAUCUCAUGCCAAGUUUGGCCUCACGAACUAAAAGUUAUAGAGUCAUACAUUUUUAACAAAACAAAAUAGAGAAAAACCGAAAAAAGAGGGAUGCAACACAAGGACUUUCCAGGAGGUCACCCAUCCUAGUACUACUCUCGCCCAAGCACCCUUAACUGCGGAGUUCUGAUGGGAUCCGGUGCAUUAGUGCUGGUAUGAUCGCAUGUGUUACUACAUGCAAUGUAAUCGUAUCUAUUCUUUUUUAAAGAUUUUAUGAUCCAUUUGCCGUGGGUCCCACCAGCUAUGUAGGAAUACCCUAUCUUCUUUAUAAGAGCUUUGAUACAUACAAAAUAUUGGAUCACAAUGUCAGAACAUAUAAUUUUCCCCCCUUAAUAUAGCAAAGAUCACUAAAAGGCCCGAAAAAAUACAUUUAGUUCAAAAUUUGGAGUAGAAAAAAAAACAAUAAAAGAAUUCCAUUUUCCUUCCUCAGUUAUCGGAGAACUCUCUUUGGGCUUUCCGAAAAGGUAUCACAUGCCAAGUUUGGCCUCACGGUCUAAAAGAUAUAGAGUCAUACAUUAUUAACAAAACAAAAUAGAGAAAAACCGAAAAAAAUAGGGAUGCAACACGAGGACUAUCCUGGAGGUCACCCAUCCUAGUACUAAUCUCGCCCAACCACCCUUAACUGCGUAGUUCUGAUGGGAUCCGAUGCAUUAGUGCUGGUAUGAUCGCAUUUGUUACUAUAUGCAAUAUAAUCGUAUCUAUUCUUUUUUAAAGACUUUAUGAUCCAUUUGCCGUGGGUCCCACCAGCUAUGUAGGAUACCCUAUCUUCAUAAUAAGAGCUUUGAUAAAUGCAAAAUAUUGGAAAACAAUGUCCGAACAUAUAAUUUCCCCCCCCC
Molecule: small RNA, 1524 nt
Filed under: Arabidopsis thaliana (thale cress)
Lineage: Eukaryota; Viridiplantae; Streptophyta; Magnoliopsida; Brassicales; Brassicaceae
Description: ATSL163370
Source: RNAcentral